This 253-nucleotide ribosomal RNA is filed under the name uncultured bacterium. RNAcentral's name for it is "partial 16S ribosomal RNA". It matches the Rfam family "Bacterial small subunit ribosomal RNA", at positions 524 to 776 of the family's 1533-position model. The record is from RNAcentral.
UACAGAGGGUGCAAGCGUUGUUCGGAAUCAUUGGGCGUAAAGCGCACGUAGGCGGCUUUGCAAGUCAGGUGUGAAAGCCUGGGGCUCAACCCCAGAAGUGCAUUUGAAACUGCAGAGCUUGAGUCUUGGAGAGGGCAGUGGAAUUCCGAGUGUAGAGGUGAAAUUCGUAGAUAUUAGGAAGAACACCAGUGGCGAAGGCGGCUCACUGGCCCGGUACUGACGCUGAGGCGCGAAAGCGUGGGGAGCAAACAGG